GCUACCACAUUAAGUUCCUACGAAAUCCUCAAGAUGAAAGAGAAUUGCUGCUGAGAUGAAUGGCUCAGUGGGAGCAGCUCCAAGAAGCUUGAAGAGCUCCUGAUGGCCCCAGAGCUGGCACCACGUGGCCAGGGGGUUUUACAGCCUCUUGGCCUUAUGGUCCUUUUAAAAACGAUUUAGGCCUCAAACCGUUAUUAGAGCAACUCCUCAUUAUUGAAAACAAUGAUUUGCUCAUUAUGCAAAGUACAACAGUCAUGCCAUCAGAACACCUGGGAGCAAAAUCCAGCUGUAUAAAUUGGACUCUGAUCCAGAAAUUUUAAUGAGAGUAACAGAAUGUGGUCCUAAAAAAAUACACUCAUUAAAAAUAAAAUUUGUGUUAUGCGCCUGCUUGUUUGUAACUCAUUCUCUUAGCUCAGCAUAUUUCUCUUAUUUGAAUAGAUUUAUAUCAUUUUAAAGUUCUAUAGAUUUAUACUGAUGAUCCAAAUCUAUUUAAAGUUGUUUCUUCAACUCCUUUCCUGACACAGCCAAAAAAGCACAGACACACAAAAUCCUGCCAUUGAUAAUUACCACAUAGUUCUUUCAGUUGAGAAAUAUCCCACAUCAUUUACUGCCUACUGAGAUGCAAUCAAAAUUAAAUGGGUGGAAAUAACUCUGAAGUGGCAGCUUUAAGCUCUACCAAAGGAGUGCAGGGUCUUAUUUUCAUGACAACAGAGAAAAUGGCCUUCUGGGUCAAACUAAUCAUCCGUUUCACCUCCAACAGUGGCAAUACGAAAUGCUGCUCCCAGAAAAUUUGUGAUCCCUGCCCCUCUGCAGUCCUCCUCCUGGUACCCCUCCAGCACCCACAACCCUGAUGAGGAUGGCAGCGAGCACAUUCCUGCCUGUGCCUUUCAGUAUCUUUUUAUGGACCUGCUGCCCUGGAGUUUGUCUGCUUCACCUUUUUUUCAGCUUGUUGACACUAUGGGUUUCCACAGCCUCCUGUAGCAGCAAAUUCCAGAAGGUAGGGUAGGUAUAUCUGUGGUAUAAAACAAGUAUCUUCCUUCACAGAUUUUAAACUUCUCUCCAACUACUUUCAGUAAGUACCCAUAAGAUACCAUAGAACUUGGCAAAUAACAAUUCUGUAUUGCUUUACUCACUGCCUUCACGGUUUUGUAAGCCUUGACCCUCAAGCCUUUGGUUGUGGGAGUGGGAUAAGAUCAUGAAAGUCACAGGUGUUUCGGUUUUGCAGCUCCAUCCCUUUAAUAAUCUUUCUUGUCUUUCUCUGCAUCUUCUCAGAUUUCUCUAUGUCCUUUAUAAAAUGUGGAAACACACAGUGUUCAGGAUGUGAAUGCACCAAGAUUUUGUUUUCUAUUUUGCUCUUAGCAUCUGUUCUGAGAGUACCCAAAACUUUGUUCCUCUUUCUAGCUGCUGCUGCAUUUGAAACAGAUGAAUUCAGAGAGCUGCCAGCAGCAAUGCCCAUUCUCUCCAUCCUGAGCUGCAGCUGCCAGUUUGCAGCUCAGCACUGGGGCUCCUUGCCACGUGUGUGUCAUUUGACUCCCUGAAGCAGUACAGUUGUAUCUGCAAACUUUGAGAUAUUUCUUCAACAUUUCCUUGUGCAGGCAGCUUUCAGUUCACCCAAGCAUCAGUCUCAUGGCAACUUAUUUUCUUCAGUAGUAUUCUGUCAGGAACCUCGUCAAUGGCUUGUUGAAAACCCAAGUAAAAUGUACCACAGAUAUAUGGAUACCCUGUAUAACUUCCAAAAGCUAGUGAGGCAGGAUUUCCCUUUACAGGCAUUAGUAAGCCCAGUGAAGCCCACCACUUGUGUGUGGAAAUGGUAGAAAAUCCUCUUUGGGUGAUUCUGUGCUAAUCCAAGUGUUGGCAGCUAGAAGCUGCUUCUGAGCAACAGGAACCUGAGAGGGAUGGAUCUUUCUAUAUAGACUUAAUACUUAGCAAAUCUAUCUAGGGUGAAGAAGCUUAGAUCAAAACAGCCCAAGUGAGGGGAUGUUAAGAAGUCUGCAAUAAAUUGAAAUAUAUCUAUUCUGGAUAGACAAAAACAAAAUACAGUGCCUGUAAAAGCCUUCCCAGCAUGGAAACUCCCUCGUAUAUUUAGUUUAACCCCAAGACUCUUUUUGACCAGUUUUCUGCAGGAGGUGAAGCUACCGAUGGAAAGCAGACAGCAAGGCUGUUGUCAGACAUGAAGGUGACUCUGGAUCUUGACAUGUUUCCCUAACAUGUUUUUAAAUUGUGGAACUUGUGCUGAAGUAGUGCUCAACACCAAAUUAAAGUCCUGUUUCCUUAAAACAAAGGAAUGUCUGUUCUGUUCUGCUGCUGAACAGUCAGAAAUAAUACUUACCCGAGAAACUAUCAAGUACAAGCCUCUGCCAGAGUACAAAUAAUUUAAAACUUUGAGGUUAGGAUUUUCAGUAGUGGCUGAGAAGACAGAUACCCAAUUCCCAUUACGUUUAAGGGAAAGCUAAUUUCCUCAGACUGCUUCAGAAAACUGCUUGUAGGUUAGGUUGUAAUGGUCAUAACUGACAUUUAACUACAGAGUAUAAGAUAAAAUGUCCUGGACUGCUUGGAGAAAAAAUAAAGCUAUUUUCUUCAAUGCCUCUUCCUUUUGACUCUGACAAGUCAAAUCAGUUAAACAAUUGACUUUUUCAUAAAGUAAAUUUUCUUUGAAAUGCCACAAGGUGGUAGAAAAUCUAACAGAAAUUACUCAAGAGUUCAUCUUUAUUCCUAUUAAUGACAUUCACUACUUUUCCACUAAGUAGGCCAGAUACAUUUGCACUAUAAAGAACUGGACUAUAAUGCUAAAAACAUGCAAAACUAUGUGGCGAUUCAUCCUUGCUGAGGAGAGAAAUGAGGUGGUAAAGAAGCAAUGUGCCAAAUUUCACUCUUAAAUUUUAUAUUGGACCAUAGAUAAAGAGGAAGAUAAAGAAGCUCCCCCUCCCUCUCACACAGAGACACUAACACAAUUUUCUUGUUUUCUGAUGGUGAACAAAUUGUGCUAUUAGAAGAGAGAAGAGUGCGUCUGAUAUCCCCAGGAGGGGAGAUCAAUAGCAGACACAGAAGCAAGUACAGAAGCUGUGGGUAAGAUUAAGUUUGGAAGAAGGUGACAGGAAUGAAAGAAGAUGGAAAUGGAUGGGAGUGUCCUGACUGAUAGGAAUCAAGGCUGGAGGGCAACUAGGAUCACAGAAAGCUUUUGGAAUAAAGGGGAAUGAAUUGGUGAGAGACACAAAUGAAAAUUUCUGUACAUAACAGAAAUAACAGAAAAGCCAGGGUGAGACAGGAUGUGUGGAGAUCCACAGAAGCAGAGUGGUCUUUAGUAGACAACUCUGCUAUAUAAUCUGUAGAGAAAUCUGCUUUUUAUGAGUCUCCACACAGCUACCUGUUGACAAGAACAUGUGGCAUUAACUUUGUGUAAUGGCAGAUCUAUCUAAGCCUGCCAUCAUCUACAUGGAAGUUGAGGAUAACUAUCUCAGAUGCAAACACCUCCACCAUAGACAACUGCACACAGCCUCUUGAGAUGCUUUGACAUCUCCAUGAGAGAUCGUAUAUCUCUUACCGUUCUCCAGGAUGCUGAGAUGAUUCUUCCACAACUCACAGGGUGGUGAGGUGACGCUGAAGAGCUGCUGAACCUUCCCAGCUCCAAUGUGUGGAAGCAGCACUGCAGGAAGAGCUUCUUGCUGAAGGAAACCUGUAUCCAUUGGGCGUGCCGGGCAAGGAGAUUAGAUCUGACUUCAUGGAACAGUCACAGAAUUUCACUGGAGCAUGAAGGAGGCUUUCAAUUGAUCUGGAAAAGCAGAAGCUGACACAUUCCUUUGUGAGGAAGCUGGGUCAUACACAUAAGCUACGUGCACAGAUGGUGCUCUGGCUGCUGAUCUCCUGGCUGUGUGCAACCACAGAACAGUUAGCCUUCCAAACAUACCAGCCCCCUACCCACUUUUCCCCAAGCCUCUUCCUAUCCUCAAUCCUUAAAUACCCUUAGCAAUUAAAAUGCCAUCAAUCUCUGCAAAAUGUGGAUGUGAAUCAUGGGCAAUUAACAAAGGAAAACAAAGGGUUCAUUUAGAAAACUGCCAGUUCAAAUCUGAGUGGGAAGCAAGACUCUUUAUGAAAGUAUUAGAGUUCUCUCUCAACUCUGUGAAGCUAGGCUGACAAGCUUAAUUGAUUCACGUACAGUGGUGUCAGUCAAAAAUAGGACCAUAAAGUUUCAUGAUACUUGUAGAUGUGGUGACUGUAAUGGAAUGUAUCCUGUCAGUGUAUCAGCAAGGGAGAAGAUGGAGCAGCUGACACUGUUAAACAUUUCUGGAUGCUAGUGUCUGAGUCAUAUGAUUAUCGUUGGAGAACAGGACUGUGCAGGUUUGUUGCAUUUAGCCUAGAACAGAUGUCCUUUAGAAGUUCUAAAACUGUGACAGAGUGCACAAAAGAAGGCAGUAAAUA
This is a non-coding RNA of Anas platyrhynchos (mallard), 4416 nucleotides long. The record is from RefSeq and is a predicted model, not a curated record. NCBI's taxonomy places the organism in Eukaryota, Metazoa, Chordata, Aves, Anseriformes, Anatidae.